UGUAGCCGUUACGUCAUAGCUUAGUCUUGAGUGUAGUUACACUAUAGCGAUGGCUAGCUUAUGGCGUAGAAAUCCAACUCCCACGUAUGAAAUUUCCAUAAACCGACUGUUUCAACUUAUUACCAACAUUUUCAAGCAACAAUUCUCAAACUCAAUUUUCUCUAUCAUGUUCUGUAACACCCCGUAUUUUUAUACAUGUUUAGUAAUCAGUUAUAUUAUUUGAGUUUAUAAUUUUAUUUUUAAAUGUUCUUCUAUUAAAUAUAUUUUAUUUCCCACUUACUAACCUUAUCCUAGAAGGGUCAAAAGAUAAUACCUAAAUUUCCUAGGUUAACUACCCAAUUAUACAUUAUGUCACUAUUAUAAAAGAGGGAUGAAAAGAAAAGAAAAAAAAAAACAACAAAAAAAAAACAAAAGAAAUGGAGGAAAAAGGGUCAGGUUUCCUGUAGCCCCCUCCCUUCCCUUUCAUUCAUUAUUUCUUCCAUUAAAUUUCCUACCUUCUUUUCUUGUAUUCUUUUUUUCCAACACACCAUUAGAUUUUCAGAUUUGUUAUCACUCAUUAUCACACAUCAAUAUUUAGUCAUCCAUCUUCAACAUUUUUAGUUUUUGUUGGUAUCUCGAAAUUGGGUCAAAUCAAGAGAUUUUCAGGUCCUUCAUUGAGUAAUAUUACUCUACUAAAUUCCCUAAUCAAGUUGCACGAGGAUGACUUAUGGAUGCUGGCUUUGGUAAUGAUGGAGAGGAGAAGAACUCUUAAUCCAAGACUCAAUAGAGCAGGAAAUAAAAGUGUUAGGGGAUGACCUAUCCGACUCAAACUAGGAAACUAGCGAGAAGUAUUAAGUCCAUGCAGUAGUUAUGCAUUGGCCAAGGCGGUUGUUGUUGUUGCUGACUUUUAUUGCAGGCGUAACUAGCAGUCUACCAUGUUCAUCAAUAUAUUAUAGGAUGUGCUUCAAAGUCCAGCACUUCAAUGUUAGAUGUUCAUUCCCUUGGUGAUACUUGUGUAGACACACUAAGGACAAUGCUUUAUUCUAGCUUGGGAGAGUAGCUUUUUGCUAGCUUGGGGGAGGAUCAACCUUAGAGGUCUCCAAACCACACACCAAGCAUAAAGUGGAGCAUCUUUUUUUUCCAAAAUAAGAGCUUUUGGAAAGAUUUGUGCACAAGGAUCAUAAUAGAACGGUCAUAACUUUCAUCACAAAUAACAUUUUUCAAGGAUUCUAGUUGGAGAUGAAAGUUUAGCUUGACAUCUAUUCAACGAAUGGUCACAAUUCUGAUUUUGAUGAAAAAUGAAAGAGAUAUGGCUCUUUGAAGUCAUGCAUGUCUGCUGGCCCACUCGAUCUGUGCCCAAACCUCUAGGGCUCCUAAGCCCACCCGAGCAACUGUCCAGCCCGGCCUGGCUGUUUGGCGGUGAAAGCUCCUGCCACUUUAGUUUAAAUAUAACCCACGUCUGGUACUCACACAUGAGCCCAUGCACCCUGCCCCGCCCGGGACUUGGGCCAGCUCGCCCGGGCUGCUAUCAUGCAUGGGUUUUGUCGUCCCAUUUUUUAUCUAAAAAGUUUUUAUUGUGACCCUAGUAGUUUUAUGCACCCUUGAGAGAGGGGUUGGAACUAGUUAAGAGUCAAUAAGUUCAAUUAGUUGCGUGGUUCUUUCCUUAAUGUUUCACCUUUUUAAUUGCUUAAAUCAUGAUUUGGUUGGUGUUGGAUACCUUUUCUAAUCCUA
Molecule: long non-coding RNA, 1710 nt
Organism: Beta vulgaris subsp. vulgaris (sugar beet)
Lineage: Eukaryota; Viridiplantae; Streptophyta; Magnoliopsida; Caryophyllales; Amaranthaceae
Exons: 4
Source: RefSeq, a predicted model, not a curated record